RNAcentral lists this transfer RNA (77 nucleotides) under Bacillus sp. MUM 116. RNAcentral's name for it is "tRNA-Asp". It matches the Rfam family "tRNA". From Rfam's summary of the family: Transfer RNA (tRNA) molecules are approximately 80 nucleotides in length. Their secondary structure includes four short double-helical elements and three loops (D, anti-codon, and T loops). RNAcentral also lists the same sequence under 1 other name. The record is from RNAcentral. Lineage: Bacteria; Bacillati; Bacillota; Bacilli; Caryophanales; Bacillaceae.
GGUCUGGUAGUUCAGUUGGUUAGAAUGCCUGCCUGUCACGCAGGAGGUCGCGGGUUCGAGUCCCGUCCAGACCGUCA